CGGCUGAACCAGCAACUUGCAGAUGUACAGCAAUAGCUAUUUGCACUAAAAAUGUUUAGUGUGAAAUCGACUAUGUCGAAUAAAAUUCUGGGUAGAAUUAUGAUAAUGACAUUAGCUAUUCAUAAGUCUUGACCAAAUUACGUGCCAGCAGUCGCGGCAAUACGUAGAAGCCAAGUGUUAUUCAUCUUUAAUAGGUUUAAAGGGUACUUAGACGGUAAAUAAAGCCUUUAAAGGGUACUAGUUUGCUAGAGUUUUAUAUGAAGGGGUUUUAAAGUACUGCUGGUGUAGAGAUGAAAUUCAGUUAUACCUUACAUGGCACAGGUUAAGGCGAAGGCAUCUUCUUAUGUAAAAACUGACGUUGAAGGACGAAGGCUUUGUGUCUCGAACAGGAUUAGAUACCCUAGUAGUCUAAGCAGAAAAUGAUGAAUGUCAUAGAUUAGAUGUAAUUUGAUCUAUAAAUGAAAGUGUAAGCAUUCCACCUCAAGAGUAAUUUGGCAACAUUGGAACUGAAAUCAUUAGACCGUUUCUGAAACCAGUAGUGUUGUAUGUUGUUUAAUUUGAUAAUCCGCAAAAAACCUUACCACAACUUGAAUAGAUAUAUUUUAUCAUACAAGCGUUGCACGGCUGUCUUUAGUUAAUGUCGUGAGACUUUGGUUAGUUCCAUUAAAUUAACGUAAACCCUUACUUUAUUUUUAUAUAAAGUAGUUCACCGCUAUAUUGGAUGUGAUAACAGGGAUCAAGACAAGUCAUCAUGGCCUAAAUAUUGU
RNAcentral lists this ribosomal RNA (767 nucleotides) under Polycauliona polycarpa. RNAcentral's name for it is "mitochondrial SSU rRNA". It matches the Rfam family "Bacterial small subunit ribosomal RNA", at positions 346 to 1210 of the family's 1533-position model. The record is from RNAcentral. Lineage: Eukaryota; Fungi; Ascomycota; Lecanoromycetes; Teloschistales; Teloschistaceae.